This 97-nucleotide ribosomal RNA is filed under the name Chelon labrosus (thicklip grey mullet). RNAcentral also lists the same sequence under 1 other name. The record is from RNAcentral. Lineage: Eukaryota; Metazoa; Chordata; Actinopteri; Mugiliformes; Mugilidae.
UACGCCCGAUCUCGUCCGAUCUCGGAAGCCAAGCAGGGUCGGGCCUGGUUAGUACUUGGAUGGGAGACCGCCUGGGAAUACCAGGUGCUGUAAGCUU